UUGACCUCGGAUCAGGUAGGGAUACCCGCUGAACUUAAGCAUAUCAAUAAGCGGAGGAAAAGAAACCAMCAGGGAUUGCCUCAGUAACGGCGAGUGAAGCGGCAACAGCUCAAAU
This 115-nucleotide ribosomal RNA is filed under the name Anzia colpota. RNAcentral's name for it is "partial 28S ribosomal RNA". It matches the Rfam family "Eukaryotic large subunit ribosomal RNA", at positions 1 to 114 of the family's 3401-position model. Lineage: Eukaryota; Fungi; Ascomycota; Lecanoromycetes; Lecanorales; Parmeliaceae. The record is from RNAcentral.